Molecule: ribosomal RNA, 462 nt
Filed under: uncultured bacterium
Lineage: Bacteria
Description: partial 16S ribosomal RNA
Rfam family: Bacterial small subunit ribosomal RNA
Source: RNAcentral
GACGAACGCUGGCGGCGUGCUUAACACAUGCAAGUCGAGCGGAAAGGCCCUUCGGGGUACUCGAGCGGCGAACGGGUUAGUAACACGUGAGUAACUUGCCCCAGACUUUGGGAUAACCCUCGGAAACGGGGGCUAAUACCGGAUACGAAACAGCUUCGCAUGGCGUCUGUGUGGAAAGUUUUUCGGUUUGGGAUGGGCUCGCGGCCUAUCAGCUUGUUGGUGGGGUGAUGGCCUACCAAGGCGACGACGGGUAGCCGGCCUGAGAGGGCGACCGGCCACACUGGGACUGAGACACGGCCCAGACUCCUACGGGAGGCAGCAGUGGGGAAUAUUGCACAAUGGGCGGAAGCCUGAUGCAGCGACGCCGCGUGAGGGAUGACGGCCUUCGGGUUGUAAACCUCUUUCAGCAGGGACGAAGCGUAAGUGACGGUACCUGCAGAAGAAGCGCCGGCCAACUACGUG